UGGAUUAGGCAUGCAAGUCGAACGAAUCCCAGCUUUGUAGCAAUACCGAGCUGGGGGAAGUGGCGAAAGGGGCAGUAAUACAUGGGCAACCUACCCUGGGGACGGGGAUAGCCUUCCUAACGGAUGGGUAAUACCUGGCGAUUUGGUCGAGGGGCAUCUCUUGACCAGGAAAUGAAUUUCGCCUCGGGAGGGGCUCAUGCGAUAUUAGCUAGUUGGUGGGGUAACGGCCCACCAAGGCAAAGAUGUCUAGCGGGUGUGAGAGCACGACCCGCGCCACUGGCACUGAGACACUGGCCAGACACCUACGGGUGGCUGCAGUCGAGGAUCUUCGGCAAUGGGCGCAAGCCUGACCGAGCGACGCCGCGUGGACGAUGAAGGCCUUCGGGUUGUAAAGUCCUGUCGAGGGGGAUAAAGGCGCAAGCUUGAUAUAUCCCUGGAGGAAGCACGGGCUAAGUUCGUGCCAGCAGCCGCGGUAAGACGAACCGUGCAAACGUUGUUCGGAAUCACUGGGCUCAAAGGGCGCGUAGGCGGCUUGCAUAGUCGGUGGUGAAAUCCUGCAGCUUAACUGUAGAAGUGCCUCCGAUACUAGCAGGCUCGAGGGAGGUAGGGGUCUGUGGAACUUCUGGUGGAGCGGUGAAAUGCGUUGAUAUCAGAAGGAACGCCGGUGGCGAAAGCGACGGACUGGAUCUCUUCUGACGCUGAGGCGCGAAAGCUAGGGGAGCAAACGGG
This 729-nucleotide ribosomal RNA is filed under the name uncultured bacterium. RNAcentral's name for it is "bacterial SSU rRNA". It matches the Rfam family "Bacterial small subunit ribosomal RNA", at positions 45 to 776 of the family's 1533-position model. The record is from RNAcentral.